RNAcentral lists this unclassified non-coding RNA (339 nucleotides) under soil metagenome. RNAcentral's name for it is "partial contains 5.8S ribosomal RNA, internal transcribed spacer 2, and large subunit ribosomal RNA". The stretch from base 1 to 120 matches the Rfam family "5.8S ribosomal RNA", at positions 35 to 154 of the family's 154-position model. The record is from RNAcentral.
GAUGAAGAACGCAUCGAAAUGCGAUAACUAAUGUGAAUUGCAGAAUUCAGUGAAUCAUCGAGUCUUUGAACGCACAUUGCGCCCCCUGGUAUUCCGGGGGGCAUGCCUGUCCGAGCGUCAUUGCUGCCCUCAAGCACGGCUUGUGUGUUGGGCUCCGUCCCCCCGGGGACGGGCCCGAAAGGCAGCGGCGGCACCGAGUCCGGUCCUCGAGCGUAUGGGGCUUUGUCACCCGCUCUGUAGGCCCGGCCGGCGCCAGCCGACAACCCAUCAUCCUUUUCAGGUUGACCUCGGAUCAGGUAGGGAUACCCGCUGAACUUAAGCAUAUCAAUAAGCGGAGGA